This 496-nucleotide ribosomal RNA is filed under the name uncultured bacterium. RNAcentral's name for it is "partial 16S ribosomal RNA". It matches the Rfam family "Bacterial small subunit ribosomal RNA", at positions 28 to 507 of the family's 1533-position model. The record is from RNAcentral.
GAUGAACGCUGGCGGCGUGCCUAAUACAUGCAAGUCGAGCGAACGGACGAGAAGCUUGCUUCUCUGAUGUUAGCGGCGGACGGGUGAGUAACACGUGGAUAACCUACCUAUAAGACUGGGAUAACUUCGGGAAACCGAGCUAAUACCGGAUAAUAUUUUGAAACGCAUGGUUUAAAAGUAAAAGACGGUCUUGCUGUCACUUAUAGAUGGAUCCGCGCUGCAUUAGCUAGUUGGUAAGGUAACGGCUUACCAAGGCAACGAUGCAUAGCCGACCUGAGAGGGUGAUCGGCCACACUGGAACUGAGACACGGUCCAGACUCCUACGGGAGGCAGCAGUAGGGAAUCUUCCGCAAUGGGCGAAAGCCUGACGGAGCAACGCCGCGUGAGUGAUGAAGGUCUUCGGAUCGUAAAACUCUGUUAUUAGGGAAGAACAUAUGUGUAAGUAACUGUGCACAUCUUGACGGUACCUAAUCAGUAAGCCACGGCUAACUACGUG